This 1216-nucleotide unclassified non-coding RNA is filed under the name Drosophila pseudoobscura pseudoobscura. RNAcentral's name for it is "GA31780". The record is from RNAcentral. Lineage: Eukaryota; Metazoa; Arthropoda; Insecta; Diptera; Drosophilidae.
AAUAGUGAAUCUCUCAUUAAUCUCCUGCAGUUCAAAAUUUAUCAUUAAUUAAUAUUAAUUCUAUCGAAUAGUAGCACAAACCCUAAGGAAAUGAAAGGGAGUUUAAUACAAUGAGUUCCAAUUACGCUGACAGCCUUUCACCUUAUGAAAACAAGGGAAUCCUAGGCAUCCCAGAGUGUUUUGACAGCGAUGAUACUGUCAGUAAAAAAUGCACUGAGCUAGCCAAUUUAAUCAAGGAUUCCAGACACGUUGUAUUUCAUACUGGCGCUGGGAUAAGUACAUCAGCCGGCAUUCCUGAUUUCAGAGGCCCGAAAGGCGUGUGGACAUUGGAAAAAAAAGGCGAAAUCCCAAAAUUGAACACUUCUUUUGAUAACGCAACGCCGACUAAGACACAUAUGGCCCUACGAGCAUUAGUAGAAGCCGGAUACGUGCAGUAUAUUGUCUCUCAAAAUAUAGACGGGUUGCACUUAAGAUCCGGACUUAAACGCAGAUACUUAUCAGAGUUGCACGGAAACAUAUUCAUUGAACAAUGCGCUACGUGUAGACGUCAGUUUGUUCGUUCGACAUCUGUCAAAUCAGUUGGUCAAAAAGCACUGGGAAUCCGCUGUCGAUCUACAGUCAGUAAAGUAGGUCGGGCAUGCCGAACUGGUUAUUUGCAUGAUAACGUGCUUGACUGGGAGCACGACUUACCGCAGAGAGAUCUCGAUAUGGCUGUCAUGCAUUCUACAAUGGCUGACUUGAAUAUAACUCUGGGAACAACUCUACAAAUUGUACCAAGUGGGAACUUACCCUUAAAAAAUAUUAAAGGCGGUGGUAAACUUGUUAUAUGUAAUUUACAACCAACAAAACAUGACUCUAAGGCACACUUAGUUAUCUCAAGUUAUGUUGAUGAAAUACUAUCGAGGGUUUGUAACAUUUUAGGUAUUGAAAUAUCAGAAUAUUCAGAGUCGUCUGAUCCCACAACACAGUCAAACUUGGUUGAAUGGACUUUGCCAUUGAAUCAUAUAAAUAUUAUUGAAAGACAGUUUAAAACACAUUUGAAAGAGACAGUUGUGUGCAAUCAAAAGAAAAAUCCGGAGUAGCUGUUACCUCCCCCGCUUUAUCCAAGAUACAAUUUUACAAUAAAUUUAGUUAUUUGCGACAAGCAGCAGAGAUAAUUAUAAGAACUUCACCUUCAAAAAGCGGGAAGGGUCUUAACGGGAACUGAGGUAUGUGA